Molecule: ribosomal RNA, 253 nt
Filed under: uncultured bacterium
Lineage: Bacteria
Description: partial 16S ribosomal RNA
Rfam family: Bacterial small subunit ribosomal RNA
Source: RNAcentral
UACAGGGGGUGCAAACGUUGCUCGGAAUUAUUGGGCGUAAAGCGCGCGUAGGCGGCUACCUAAGUCGGAUGUGAAAGCCCCUGGCUUAACUGGAGAAGUGCACCCGAAACUGAGUAGCUAGAGUACGAAAGAGGGUCGCGGAAUUCCCGGUGUAGAGGUGAAAUUCGUAGAUAUCGGGAGGAACACCGGUGGCGAAGGCGGCGACCUGGGUCGAUACUGACGCUGAGGCGCGAAAGCGUGGGGAGCAAACAGG